Molecule: non-coding RNA, 107 nt
Organism: Arabis alpina (gray rockcress)
Lineage: Eukaryota; Viridiplantae; Streptophyta; Magnoliopsida; Brassicales; Brassicaceae
Source: Rfam
UAUGCAUGAUGAGGGCAAUCUCUUAGGUAUUCCUUAAAGUGUUCCCAAACAUCAUGGAAACUUUCUAAAGGUCAUUAUUGGAAUCCUUGUAUCUUGUUUCUUAAGAG